UGACUAGAAGCUAGCCAAUGCUGUCUAUAAAAAGGGCACAAGAGAAGACCCAGGAAACUACAGAUCUGUUAGUCUUACUUCAGUCUCCGUAAAAGUUAUAGAGAAUGUUGUCCUGGGAGAUGAGAAGCCUUGCAAAGAGACCUGAAUAGAUUAAAGCACUGAGCAAAUCAGUAUGAAGUUCAACAAAGGAAAAUGGUCUUCAAGUCUGGAUCAUGAAAGCUGAC
This 224-nucleotide long non-coding RNA is filed under the name Gallus gallus (chicken). The record is from RNAcentral. Lineage: Eukaryota; Metazoa; Chordata; Aves; Galliformes; Phasianidae.